This 490-nucleotide ribosomal RNA is filed under the name uncultured bacterium. RNAcentral describes it as "partial 16S ribosomal RNA". It matches the Rfam family "Bacterial small subunit ribosomal RNA", at positions 30 to 507 of the family's 1533-position model. The record is from RNAcentral.
AUUGAACGCUGGCGGCAGGCCUAACACAUGCAAGUCGAACGGUAACAGGAAGAAGCUUGCUUCUUUGCUGACGAGUGGCGGACGGGUGAGUAAUGUCUGGGAAACUGCCUGAUGGAGGGGGAUAACUACUGGAAACGGUAGCUAAUACCGCAUAACGUCGCAAGACCAAAGAGGGGGACCUUCGGGCCUCUUGCCAUCGGAUGUGCCCGGAUGGGAUUAGCUAGUAGGUGGGGUAACGGCUCACCUAGGCGACGAUCCCUAGCUGGUCUGAGAGGAUGACCAGCCACACUGGAACUGAGACACGGUCCAGACUCCUACGGGAGGCAGCAGUGGGGAAUAUUGCACAAUGGGCGCAAGCCUGAUGCAGCCAUGCCGCGUGUAUGAAGAAGGCCUUCGGGUUGUAAAGUACUUUCAGCGGGGAGGAAGGGAGUAAAGUUAAUACCUUUGCUCAUUGACGUUACCCGCAGAAGAAGCACCGGCUAACUCCGUG